UUACGGGAGGCAGCAGUGGGGAAUAUUGGACAAUGGGGGCAACCCUGAUCCAGCAAUGCCGCGUGUGUGAAGAAGGCCUGCGGGUUGUAAAGCACUUUCGGUGGGGAAGAACGCGCUUGCGAUUAAUACUCGUGAGCAGUGACGGUACCCAAAGAAGAAGCACCGGCUAACUCUGUGCCAGCAGCCGCGGUAAUACAGAGGGUGCAAGCGUUAAUCGGAAUUACUGGGCGUAAAGCGCACGUAGGUGGUUAUUUAAGUCGGAUGUGAAAUCCCCGGGCUUAACCUGGGAACUGCAUUCGAUACUGAAUAACUAGAGUCUGGUAGAGGGUGGUGGAAUUCCAGGUGUAGCGGUGAAAUGCGUAGAUAUCUGGAGGAACAUCAGUGGCGAAGGCGGCCACCUGGACUGAGACUGACACUGAGGUGCGAAAGCGUGGGGAGCAAACAGGAUUAGAUACCCCGGUAGA
This 464-nucleotide ribosomal RNA is filed under the name uncultured bacterium. RNAcentral's name for it is "bacterial SSU rRNA". It matches the Rfam family "Bacterial small subunit ribosomal RNA", at positions 339 to 794 of the family's 1533-position model. The record is from RNAcentral.